UGGAAUUGGACUUGAGAACAAGUUAUAAACAAGAUCAAGAUAUCUCACACUGGUUAAGUUUCCUAAUAACUUGGGUAUUUCGUUCAAAUCUAACUCCUCCAGUGUAUUAUUACUACACUCAGACAAACCAUCUCCUAGUUAAGUAAGAGAUUGCAAGUCACAAAGAAUUGUGAAAGUAUUAUUGGAUAAUAAGGGGUCUUUAAUAUUGAAGAG
Molecule: unclassified non-coding RNA, 213 nt
Filed under: Hevea brasiliensis (rubber tree)
Lineage: Eukaryota; Viridiplantae; Streptophyta; Magnoliopsida; Malpighiales; Euphorbiaceae
Source: RNAcentral